CCUACGGGGGGCAGCAGUCGAGAAUCAUUCACAAUGGGGGAAACCCUGAUGGUGCGACGCCGCGUGGGGGAAUGAAGGUCUUCGGAUUGUAAACCCCUGUCAUGUGGGAGCAAAUUAAAAAGAUAGUACCACAAGAGGAAUAGACGGCUAACUCUGUGCCAGCAGCCGCGGUAAUACAGAGGUCUCAAGCGUUGUUCGGAAUAACUGGGCGUAAAGCGUGCGUAGGCGGUUUCGUAAGUCGUGUGUGAAAGGCAGGGGCUCAACCCGCGGACGGCACAUGAUACUGCGAGACUAGAGUAAGGGAGGGGGAAGCGGAAUGCGCGGUGUAGCAGUGAAAUGCGUAGAUAUCGAGAGGAACACUCGUGGCGAAGGCGGGUUCCUGGACAUUAACUGACGCUGAGGCACGAAGGCGAGGGGAGCGAAAGGGAUUAGAUACCCGAGUAGUC
RNAcentral lists this ribosomal RNA (446 nucleotides) under uncultured bacterium. RNAcentral's name for it is "partial 16S ribosomal RNA". It matches the Rfam family "Bacterial small subunit ribosomal RNA", at positions 338 to 795 of the family's 1533-position model. The record is from RNAcentral.